AAGGGUGUUUUACUAUGUCAGAAGGGUGUUUUACUAUGGUAGAAGGUGAGGUAGAAGGGUGUUUACUAUGGUAGAAGGGUGUUUUACUAUGGCAGAAGGGUUUUUUACUAUGGUAGAAGGGUGUUUUACUAUGUCAGAAGGGUGUUUUACUAUGGUAGAAGGUGAGGUAGAAGGGUGUUUACUAUGGUAGAAGGGUGUUUUACUAUGGUAGAAGGGUGUUUUACCAUGGUAGAAGGGUGUUUUACUAUGGCAGAAGGGUGUUUUACUAUGGUAGAAGGGUGUUUUACUAUGGCAGGAGGGUGUUUUACUAUUUCAGAAGGGUGUUUUACUAUGGUAGAAGGGUGUUUUACUAUGGUAGAAGGGUGUUUUACUAUGUCAGAAGGGUGUUUUACUAUGGUAGAAGGGUGUUUUACUAUGGCAGGAGGGUGUUUUACUAUUUCAGAAGGGUGUUUUACUAUGGUAGAAGGGUGUUUUACUAUGUCAGAAGGGUGUUUUACUAUGUCAGAAGGGUGUUUUACCAUGGUAGAAGGGUGUUUUACUAUGUCAGAAGGGUGUUUUACCAUGGUAGAAGGGUGUUUUACUAUGGUAGAAGGGUGUUUUACUAUGGCAGGAGGGUGUUUUACUAUUUCAGAAGGGUGUUUUACUAUGGUAGAAGGGUGUUUUACUAUGGUAGAAGGGUGUUUUACUAUGUCAGAAGGGUGUUUUACUAUGGUAGAAGGGUGUUUUACUAUGUCAGAAGGGUGUUUUACUAUGGUAGAAGGUGAGGUAGAAGGGUGUUUACUAUGGUAGAAGGGUGUUUUACUAUGGCAGAAGGGUUUUUUACUAUGGUAGAAGGGUGUUUUACUAUGUCAGAAGGGUGUUUUACUAUGGUAGAAGGUGAGGUAGAAGGGUGUUUACUAUGGUAGAAGGGUGUUUUACUAUGGUAGAAGGGUUUUUUACUAUGGUAGAAGGGUGUUUUACUAUGUCAGAAGGGUGUUUUACUAUGGUAGAAGGUGAGGUAGAAG
Molecule: long non-coding RNA, 1004 nt
Organism: Oncorhynchus tshawytscha (Chinook salmon)
Lineage: Eukaryota; Metazoa; Chordata; Actinopteri; Salmoniformes; Salmonidae
Source: Ensembl